Molecule: long non-coding RNA, 220 nt
Filed under: Ananas comosus (pineapple)
Lineage: Eukaryota; Viridiplantae; Streptophyta; Magnoliopsida; Poales; Bromeliaceae
Description: long non-coding RNA (ACOM_LNC018468)
Source: RNAcentral
UAUGUUAUUUAUUUUAUUCUUAUAAAUACGAUCGUUUUCAUACUCAUAAAUUAUUUUUGAUGAUAGAGCUUAUGAAUUAAUAAUUUAUACUGUUAAAUAUAAUUUAGAGCAUUUAAAACUUCUAAAAGUUAAAUUUUAUAAGUUUUUGACAUCAAUUAUUUUAUAUCAAAAGAUCUUAAAAUUGACAAUUUUUUGAUAUAAAAUAAAAUAUAUAUAUGUA